RNAcentral lists this unclassified non-coding RNA (5539 nucleotides) under Patiria miniata (bat star). Its description in RNAcentral is "zinc finger protein 878-like, transcript variant X5". The record is from RNAcentral. Lineage: Eukaryota; Metazoa; Echinodermata; Asteroidea; Valvatida; Asterinidae.
GCUUGCAAAUGCACCAGCAUCGCGGUAAUACCACCAGCUUGGCGGAUAUGUGGACACGGUGGAGGAGAAGACGCCGAUUUGCAGUUAUUUUUGCAGCUUAAAUAAGACCUCACUGAACAACGUCAGACAGUUUACUAUUGGAAGAUGGCACCCUUUCAUCCAAAUGGUUCAAAACUUGAAGCGUGCGACUUUGGAUUGUGACUACCUUGCAUUCCAUAAAGUUACUGCAAGUCUCCCUGCACAGAGAUUUUUUUUUUUUAGAUGACCGGUAACUUCCAGUAAACACCAUGAAGUACAUAGCGAACUCUGCUUUGCGCGAAUAUGUGAAGGAGGAGUUGAGAGUUUCCAUAUUUCAAAUGGCACACAAGUUAGCCGUACAGACAGGCUGUGAAAUUCUGGUCAAACUGGAGGACUGUGUGGACCACGCAGGCUGCCAAUACUAUGCCACAAGGACCCUGAACCUGCAAUACAUGGACAAGGGUUUGUCCAAACAGCCGUGGGAGGUCAUGGUCUCGGGAAUUACAGGGUUGCCCGUGUCCAAUUAUGGCAGCCAGAGUGAGGAUCGGAAUGGAAGCUUGACGGAGACUGAAGACUAUGAGCUGAGCAACGACAUGGGCAAUUCGGCCGAGAUGUCAUUCUCCAAUAACCUGUCCUCAGGAUCCCUGGCCAAUGUGUCUGCAGUGAGCCAGGGUAGCCAGCAGAGUGGCCAGACGAUAGUGCAUGUGAUCAAAACAGAGCCCGGUAACUCGCAGUUGACCUCAGCUGCCGACGGGGACUCUUGGACCAAGACCACCGUCACGCUGCCUUUUCCAGUGUCACUCGAGUCGGCCUUGAGCAGUCAAGGUGGAGAAGGAACUGUGGAUGCAAGCAAUCCAAAUCAGUCCAUGGAUGCAGACCAUAUCCAGCAGCAGAUCUACAUAUAUGCAAACACCAAUACUGAGGUGAAGGAAGAAGAGAUGGAUGAAGAAGCUCCACAGGAUGAUGCAGCUGACGACACUGCAGAUCCACAUCGCCACCGCACACCGCCCUCGCUCAACUACCAGUGUAGCUUGUGCAAGAAGCGGGUGAGCAGUGUUGCACUGCUGGUCCGUCAUGCCAAGUUGUACCACACCAGCGACGAGAACAUGCGUUACCACUGUGUCCCCUGCGACAGGGAGUACAAGCACGCCCGGCACCUUGAGCAGCACACCGAGUUGCACAGCAAGGCCAGCUACCGAUGCUCCACGUGCUGCAAGGGCUUCUACCGCAGCUCCACACUGCGAGAGCAUGAGCUGCGGGACCACCAGGGACGCUAUCGUUACUAUUGCCCCAAGUGUCACAAAGGCUUCAUGCGUCCCAGCACCAUGCAGACUCACUUAAACCGCACCCAUCCUGGCUGGUUUAGCAAGUCCAAAGCCUCUCCUAGAGCAGCCGCCAAAAUGUCCAAGCCCCCAGCCAGUGUUCCCCGGAUAGUGAUACCAGUCGACAAAGACGGGGAGGAGCUGAACUCCUUGUGUCAACAGGCAACCAACGAUGAGGUACCAUCAACAAGUGCUGAUCAGGGUCAAAUGACCCAGGCUACUGACCCAGAUAGUGGUGGGGUAGCCCAGUCCGAUUCCGAAAACCAACGGACCACGGUAAACGAAGAGCUUCGGAACGCAACCCAGAGGAAGAUGAUGAAAGUGGUGUAUCAGUGCAAAGAGUGCGGCCGCAUGUACGACAACGCCAACUCCCUUGUGCGCCACAUCCACGACCGGCACGACAGCCGCACCAAAUUGCGGUGCAACCAGUGCAGCUACCGGACCAGUCGCACCUCAGACUUGUCACGCCACAAGAGGGCAAAGCACCCUGCUGGGGGCACCUCUGCUGCUCAACCCAACAAGGGUUCAGAGUAGGAUCUGUCCACAGCUCUGUGUUGAUGAUACCAACUGACGGAGUAGUUGGCAAUUGUACAUGGCACACAUUGAUCACAGAAUAAACGUUUCUUCCUUAAUCUCCAGAGAAGACUACUGAAUGAAAUUCCUUCAUUCAAUCCAAAUUCUUUGCAGUGGAAUGUGCCUUUACAUGGAGUGGACAAACAGCAAAACUGCAUGUCAUCUGUUUAUAUUGUAACAUACAUACAACUUUUUUUUACUGUAAAAUAGCAUGAUAAGUCCUACCAGUCUUACCUGUGAAUUUCAAAAGAAAACUAUCUAGAUGUUAGAUUCAAUAACCCCAAAAGUUAAUAACUUGCACUUCAUCUACGAUAUUCAUAAUAACUUUUCACAAAUCUCUUUAUAAAAUUUCGAGGAAAAAUGCCCCAGAUUGAUGAAUAUCGUUUAAAAGCUUUUGCCUCCUGACAGAAAAGUUUAGACUUCUGCCUUUUCACUGGGAGUUUCCACAUUUGCAAAGUUAGGAGUCAAAACAUCAGUUGGGAUGAAGGUUUUAUGACUAUGACCGCGUUAGCGCCAAACUUAUGAUGUUCCAGAUACAUAUUUGGGCAUCUUUUUGCCUGUAUUUUCUAUCCAAGACAAGUUAAAGGUGAUGAAAUGGAGAGUGAUGCAGAUUUCAACUUUGAAAAUAUGAAUGACAUAGUGUACCGGUAUGAAUGACAUAGUCUUCCUAUGAUGGCCAAGCAUCUCUGCUGUGUAUAUUUGUGUGGUCCUUGGAGCCGCUUUCUGUCCUUUCAGUCCACUUACUAUUAAGUGGGCAUUCAUGAACCAAUGGAUAAGGCUGUGGAAGAACAUAAAUUGUACAUCGUUUUUUUUAGCAAGUGAACAAGAGAAAUGGGUGCUUGCAAAGCCAGGAAUUACUAAUGUGUGUAUAUUACAUCUGUUGUGCGUGUACAGUACAUCAGUUGGUGAAUGACCACACAAUGGGUUCGCAGCCUGGGAUGAUCUCCUGUACAGUUGUCAUUUCUAAGGCACAUAAUGGCAGUGCGUCGCUAAUGGAACACUUUGCUGUCUACAUGUGAUGCCUGCUGGAUAUUUGAUUUGACAGCGGUUCUACUGUCGUCACCAGACAAACUGGCUGAAUUCAUGGACAAGGAACUUAACCUUCGGAAGCUUCACUUCAAGAAACCUGUCAAUAACUCCUGCUGUUCUGCUUUGUGACAUUUCACCAGUAAUAUGAAGAGCCUAUCAACAUCCCCAUGAUGAUCUUAAGUCGCGGACAAAUUGUUUCCCACAUUUGUUAUGGGACAGCCUUCUUUGUUUUUUCUUUCUGCAGGUUUUUAUGCGACAAAUAGGUUCCAUAGCUGCAACAAGUAUACUCAACAAGGCAAUAAUAAGAGAGCGCCUGUUGCAACAGUGAAAGUGAAAUCCUGAGUGUGCAAAAAAGGUCAAGAACUGAAUUCGUCCGUAAACCUUGAACAGUAUUUUGGAGCAACCAAAGUGUAUGGUCUGCAUAUGUCUACAGCAUGCAAAUGUCUGUAGUAUGCAAAUGUCCAUAGCAAAUACUAAACAUGCACACUGUACGUUAAAGACAAGGAUGGUUAAUGCCUUGGCAGUUGGCAUUGGCAUCUUUGUAGGUACAUUUUGCUAGACUUUGUAUCGAUGACAAAUAAAUUUGAAAUGAUAUUUAUCUAUAAAACCAGUAAUUGAGAGAUGUACAAUGAAUGUAUGUAGACCAACUUUAACCCUAACUCCCUGAUUUACUCGGAACCAUACCCAUCCUGGAAAAUUCCUGCACCAUGUGGGAAACUGCACACACAUAUUUCUGACUUUGAUACUGGAGGUGUGCCAACCCAGUGUAAAAGACUGUCAGUUUUAGGGGUAACUGUAUCCAUCCUGACAGAUUCUAACAAAACAUGCCGUUGGGGUUUGAUGGAUUGAGUUCUGUUAGGGUUAAUAAUGGUUGUUACCCGAAUCAAAUUUGGAUCAGAUUCAAUUUGUAAUUAUUUUGUGUCUUUGGAUACUCUGUCAGUAAGAACAUGCUAAUGCACUUGCUACAUUUCUUUUGUUGUUUGGGUCUAGUUCCAGCAGUAUUUGCAGAAUAAUAUUGCCUAAGGUUUAGCAACAGUCAGGAAUUUAACUUUUGUGAAUAUUGUUUGAUACCAUGGCUAUGUGUAAUCUUUUAGAUGAUACUUAUAGUUUUUUUUUCUUGGUUGAACAACAUAAAAGUGACUAAAGCCAGUUUGUGUUCUGAAUUCGACUUGCGACAGUCUUUUUGGUUUGGACUAAAACUCGAUUUUAUGCAUGUAAUCAUAUAUAUAUUAGCUAUUUUUAGAUAAUUAUUUAGAUGUUUUUUUUGUAGUAAGGAUUCUUUUUUUUGCAAAAGUGUAUAAUAGUCGUAAAAACUUCAUUUCUGCAAAUUUAUAGGGUAUGCACAAUCAUUUUUAAAAGAGAUAUUUUAAGCACAACACAGUUGCAUGUUGUUAAGCUUCCACAACUGACAUGCUGAGUGAAUCAUGAGUAGUUGAAAUUAUUUUUUUUGGGGGGGGGGAUGCUAAAAAGUUAAAAUGUAUCUGUGAAACUAAUCUUUUGUUUUUGCUUUGCUGUGACUGUAAAUUUAAAAUCAUUAGAGUGAGCACCCAAGUGGAGAAAUAUUAGCAAUUGAGGUUAGUGUGAGUGAGCAUACCAGAAAUAUUCAUGACUAGAAUUUACCGAUUGUAUGGUUUGAAAAUUGAAAUGAAAAUGGAUAAAUUAUUAGUUUUAAUCAAAUAAUCUCCUUUCAGUUGUAGUGGGCUUUAAUGGGAUUAGGCAUUUUUGAGGAAUAUUGAUAAAAUUCAUUUAACUUAUUGAAGAAACAAAACAAAAUUUUUUUUACCCCGAUUGUCAUACAAAUGUUAAAGCACUGGGCGUUUUUAUUUGAAAAGGUAAUGCAUAUACUUGGUUAUAUUUAACAAUUAUUGUAAAUAAUGCUGUUUGAAACAAAUUGAGCCUUGCUCAUGUUUCUGGAAGUUUGUUUUAAAGAGAGGAGAUCAUGUUCAUCAAUUUUUUUGGAAAUAUUUUUUUCAAUUUGCAAUUGUUUCCAUUUAGUUCCGGAGGCGAGAACUUGUUCUAUAAAUGAUCGUGUGUGGGUCCGGAUGAUUCAAGUCCCUCUUUGUAAUCGAAGGAUUUAAAUGCAGUUGCUUAUACACCCUGGCAUCUACUCCAUUCAGAUGCAACUGGAAAUCAAUCUUUUUGCUGCAAAAAUAGAACGAACAAGAUUUCCUCAAAAAUGAAAUAUCGGUCAGGUGCCAGGAUUUCAGUGUGUACUCAAUUGAUGCACCGACUAUCCCAAAUCCAAACGUUCUUUUUACAUGUAUAACUAAAAAAAGGUGUUUCUUACCAAUUUUGGUUUUUAUAUGGCAAAGAAAUCGUAAUUUGUAGAAUGAACCUUUCAGUAGUUUAUAAUUCUAUUGUUUUUUUUCCAGCUUUGCAUCGUAAUGUCGCAAAAACACCAUUUGGACUGCAGAACGUUUUCAGUGUCAAUCAUGAAAAUGAUUUGUUAUACUUGUAAUUGUAAUAUACAUUUAACAAUUGCUUACUCUAUCAAAACAGUGUAUAAUAUGUAUCUAAAAAAAUAACCUGGACGGAAUCGAGUUGAUAAAUUUCUCUUGUAGAUUGUAGGAUUAAAUUUUUAAAAAUGAGGAGAAAAA